Molecule: ribosomal RNA, 490 nt
Filed under: uncultured bacterium
Lineage: Bacteria
Description: partial 16S ribosomal RNA
Rfam family: Bacterial small subunit ribosomal RNA
Source: RNAcentral
AUUGAACGCUGGCGGCAGGCCUAACACAUGCAAGUCGAACGGUAACAGGAAGAAGCUUGCUUCUUUGCUGACGAGUGGCGGACGGGUGAGUAAUGUCUGGGAAACUGCCUGAUGGAGGGGGUUAACUACUGGAAACGGUAGCUAAUACCGCAUAACGUCGCAAGACCAAAGAGGGGGACCUUCGGGCCUCUUGCCAUCGGAUGUGCCCAGAUGGGAUUAGCUAGUAGGUGGGGUAACGGCUCACCUAGGCGACGAUCCCUAGCUGGUCUGAGAGGAUGACCAGCCACACUGGAACUGAGACACGGUCCAGACUCCUACGGGAGGCAGCAGUGGGGAAUAUUGCACAAUGGGCGAAAGCCUGAUGCAUCCAUGCCGCGUGUAUGAAGAAGGCCUUCGGGUUGUAAAGUACUUUCAGCGGGGAGGAAGGGAGUAAUGUUAAUACCUUUGCUUAUUGACGUUACCCGCAGAAGAAGCACCGGCUAACUACGUG